Molecule: ribosomal RNA, 292 nt
Filed under: uncultured Acidobacteriota bacterium
Lineage: Bacteria; Pseudomonadati; Acidobacteriota
Description: uncultured Acidobacteria bacterium partial 16S ribosomal RNA
Source: RNAcentral
GGACUACCGGGGUAUCUAAUCCCGUUUGCUCCCCUAGCUUUCGCGCCUCAGCGUCAGUGUCGGUCCAGGAAGCCGCCUUCGCCACCGGUGUUCCUCCGGAUAUCUACGCAUUUCACCGCUACACCCGGAAUUCCGCUUCCCUCUCCCGAACUCAAGCCCGACAGUUUCCCGCGCCAUUCCCCAGUUGAGCCGGGGGCUUUCACGCGGGACUUGUCGAACCGCCUACGCGCCCUUUACGCCCAGUAAUUCCGAACAACGCUUGCCACCUCUGUAUUACCGCGGCUGCUGGCAC